GGAGUAACCCACCCGGCAAAGACUGCCCAUCAGCCGGAAGCGAGUCUUGGGUGGCGAUGUGGCGACCCCCGUCACGAAGCGUAGACAGCGAGUGAACAGGCCGUGUGAUUGAGCCUCGAAACACGCAACUCGGGAGCCGACGUCUUAAUGGCGACGCAAGGCAGCACGGAACCACCGCGCUGGCAAGGUGGCGAAGUCCCGGCGGGGUCGGAGAGCG
Non-coding RNA from Nitrococcus mobilis Nb-231, 217 nucleotides. The record is from Rfam. NCBI's taxonomy places the organism in Bacteria, Pseudomonadati, Pseudomonadota, Gammaproteobacteria, Chromatiales, Ectothiorhodospiraceae.